RNAcentral lists this ribosomal RNA (404 nucleotides) under uncultured bacterium. RNAcentral describes it as "bacterial SSU rRNA". It matches the Rfam family "Bacterial small subunit ribosomal RNA", at positions 355 to 775 of the family's 1533-position model. The record is from RNAcentral.
UCGGGAAUUUUGGGCAAUGGGGGAAACCCUGACCCAGCAACGCCGCGUGAAGGAUGAAGUAUUUCGGUAUGUAAACUUCGAAAGAAUGGGAAGAAUCAAUGACGGUACCAUUUAUAAGGUCCGGCUAACUACGUGCCAGCAGCCGCGGUAAUACGUAGGGACCAAGCGUUGUUCGGAUUUACUGGGCGUAAAGGGCGCGUAGGCGGCAUGACAAGUCACUUGUGAAAUCUCUGGGCUUAACCCAGAACGGUCAAGUGAUACUGUCGCGCUAGAGUGCGGAAGGGGCAAUCGGAAUUCUCGGUGUAGCGGUGAAAUGCGUAGAUAUCGAGAGGAACACCUGAGGUGAAGACGGGUUGCUGGGCCGACACUGACGCUGAGUGCGCGAAAGCCAGGGGAGCAAACGG